This 253-nucleotide ribosomal RNA is filed under the name uncultured bacterium. RNAcentral describes it as "partial 16S ribosomal RNA". It matches the Rfam family "Bacterial small subunit ribosomal RNA", at positions 524 to 776 of the family's 1533-position model. The record is from RNAcentral.
UACGUAGGGGGCAAGCGUUGUCCGGAAUCAUUGGGCGUAAAGCGCGUGUAGGCGGUUCCGUAAGUCUGCUGUGAAAGUCGGAGGCUCAACCUUCGAAAGCCGGUGGAUACUGUGGAACUAGAGUGCGGAAGAGGCAAGUGGAAUUCCUGGUGUAGCGGUGAAAUGCGCAGAUAUCAGGAGGAACACCAACGGCGAAGGCAGCUUGCUGGGACGUUACUGACGCUGAGACGCGAAAGCGUGGGGAGCAAACAGG